RNAcentral lists this ribosomal RNA (439 nucleotides) under uncultured bacterium. Its description in RNAcentral is "partial 16S ribosomal RNA". It matches the Rfam family "Bacterial small subunit ribosomal RNA", at positions 338 to 795 of the family's 1533-position model. The record is from RNAcentral.
CCUACGGGUGGCAGCAGUGGGGAAUAUUGCACAAUGGGCGAAAGCCUGAUGCAGCAACGCCGCGUGAGCGAUGAAGGCCUUCGGGUUGUAAAGCUCUGUCUUUAAGGAAGAAAAUGACGGUACUUGAGGAGGAAGCCCCGGCUAACUACGUGCCAGCAGCCGCGGUAAUACGUAGGGGGCUAACGUUAUCCGGAAUUACUGGGCGUAAAGUGUGCGUAGGUGGUUUCUUAAGUCAGAGGUGAAAGCGUACGGCUCAACCGUAGUAAGCGUUUGACACUGGGGAACUUGAGUGCAGGAGAGGAGAGUGGAAUUCCUAGUGUAGCGGUGAAAUGCGUAGAUAUUAGGAGGAACACCAGUGGCGAAGGCGGCUCUCUGGACUGUAACUGACGCUGAGGCACGAAAGCGUGGGGAGCAAACAGGAUUAGAUACCCUUGUAGUC